ACGGCCUUCGGGUUGUAAACCUCUUUCAGUAGGGACGAAGCGAGAGUGACGGUACCUGCAGAAGAAGCGCCGGCCAACUACGUGCCAGCAGCCGCGGUAAUACGUAGGGCGCAAGCGUUGUCCGGAAUUAUUGGGCGUAAAGAGCUCGUAGGCGGUUUGUCACGUCGGCUGUGAAAUCCCGAGGCUUAACCUCGGGCUUGCAGUCGAUACGGGCAGACUAGAGUGGAGCAGGGGAGACUGGAAUUCCUGGUGUAGCGGUGAAAUGCGCAGAUAUCAGGAGGAACACCGAUGGCGAAGGCAGGUCUCUGGGCUUUAACUGACGCUGAGUAGCGAAAGCGUGGGUAGCAAACAGGAUUAGAUACCCUGGUAGUCCGCGCCGUAAACGGUGGGCGCUAGGUGUGGGGACCAUUCCACGGUCUCCGUGCCGCAGCUAACGCAUUAAGCGCCCCGCCUGGGGAGUACGGCCGCAAGGCUAAAACUCAAAGGAAUUGACGGAAUCACUA
This 503-nucleotide ribosomal RNA is filed under the name uncultured bacterium. RNAcentral's name for it is "bacterial SSU rRNA". It matches the Rfam family "Bacterial small subunit ribosomal RNA", at positions 411 to 924 of the family's 1533-position model. The record is from RNAcentral.